UAUUGUAUUUGAUGUUUAUCAAUUGGAUGCUUCUGGAUUCUUUAGAUAAGCAGUCCACCACCGAUUUCCUUCCCACCUGUCUUUGGUUUUGUCACAAGGCGAUUCCUUCAUCGCAUAUCCCUAACUCAAUCACCACUUUCCCAACCCACCUCUCCUGCUACGCUAUCUGAUUCCUUUCCAGAAAACGUCAGAAUCGACUCGAUUGUUAGGAAACAAGUUUCCAGUUCCUUGACGCCAUAUCCGCAAAUCAUCCGCCACUUUCCGUCAUCGGGUAAGUUUGUGCAUCCGAGUGGUUUUCUUCUACUGUUUUCUUCUAAUUGAUACAUGUUGUCUUCGUUAUCUCCGAUGGUUCACAACGUCUAUAACUUCCUGGUAUUGGCAACGGUGGUGGAAGUGGCGGACUGUACGACGGUGGUGGUGGCAGUUACCGUCCAAACCCUAAUUACUACUAUCAACCUUGAAACCCUAAUCAUCAAAAUCAAUUUCAGUAGCAGCGGCGCCAACCACAGUACACGCAGAGGUAGCAGUGUCGACAACUAAACAACACACAACAACAGUGGCUAAGACGGAUCCCUAUCGAAGAACGAUAGAAUCUCUGCAAGACAUGCACGCCAAGUGUUUGUUGAUUCGCCUCAAUUAGCUACAACUCACUCGCUACCAGAUCUUUGGGAGCAUUUCUUUCUUACACAUCUUCUCCAUAUCAAAAAUUGGUACCACUUCCUUCUGUGGCUUUGCCUUCGAUCAGUUUAUUAUCUUCUUCAUCCAGUCGAAGAAGAAGGAGUUCAUCCUUUGGUAACUUUCUACAUCGAGCUAUUUUUGGUGCUCCCGUUGAGAAACAGGCAUCUAUGGAGUGUCACUCUACCAUAUUUUGAUCCCUAACCUGUAUGACCGCCUACUACUUCCCCAUCAGGUUCCAUCUUCUUGGUUCUAAGUUGAAAUUUAUUAUGCUUCACAAAUUGGACCAUUUAUAGUUAAUUAUUUACAUUAAUUUUGUUGUUUCUUAUGUUUUCAGAUAAAAUUCCUAAACCUUCCUAUCCUUAUUUUAUCAAUUCGUAUCAAUUGACCUUUCUUUUGAUAUUCGAUCGAAGUUUCUUGUGGAGGUUUGGUGAAAUUUUGUUCCAUAUUAGGGAUUACUAAAAUUGAAUUUUUGUUAUUGCAGAGUCAUUGGUAAUUAAGUUUUUCAAAUGAUUGAGUUAUAUGUGCAGACCAAGUGUUUGAUAAAAUGCUUAAGAGAAGAAAGAGCAUGUUAAAUGUUUAAAUGUCCAUUGUUCUAUUGUGUAAAUUGUUCUGAUGUACACAAAUAUGGGUGAACACGAUGGCAAAGAAAGUGUAGGGACACCUAUAUCGGCUCUCUCUCACUGUUAUUCUCUCUCCCACUGCCAUUAUCCUACUUCGCUGCCUCUUACUGGAAAAGAACGACCUACAGAGCCAAUUUUGAAAGGGAAGACUAAUUGUACCUUGAAAGUGUUUGUUAAAAUGCCAUCUUUUUAAAGAACAUAUUAAGAAACUUAGUGGUGUUUCUGUUUCUUUUCUGAUAGACGAUAGUCAUGUUUUAGACACAGAAAGAGGCUCUUACAUUUCUCCCUUAGAGGGAUUAAGUUCCCACAGAAUCCCCAUAAAACCCAACAACAAUCUCAAAGAAACUCAUGAUAGAAAGACUGCUGGUGUAUGGGGAUAUUUCUUUAAAAUAGUCUUCCAGGCAAGUAUUUCAAAAAUAAAGCUUCACUUUGUGUUAUUUCCAUUAAUACCCUUCCUCACCUUCUCUCUUAAUAAACAUAUAUGUGCAGGAGCUGUUGGACUCGCUGAUAGUGUAUUUUGGUUCAUAAUCUAUCUGUUUCUUACCCCUGUAGGUUACAAUUUAACUUUAGUAAGCCUUUCUUGCAUUUAGGCUUUCAUGUUAAAACGAGAUAAAAACAUGCAUGAAAAUGGACAUGACCAUUUUGAGGGGUAUUUGUGUCCGUUUCAGUUGGAUGUUAGGAUGCAUUCUCUCAAUGCCAUUCUCCUCAUUAUGCCAUACCCCGUGAAAGUUAAGUUUCAACCUCUAUUCAAAGUUAACUUGAGUUUGGGAUUCGUUAUUAACUCAUAUUUUUUUCUUUAAAAAUGAUUGUUAGCUUACAGGUAACUAAACAAAACGUAACUAAAAAAAAUAGUCAUAUAGAUUAGUUUUUAUGCUAUUAAAAAAACCUUUACAAUCUAUUUUCGAUAUUGUUUGUCGAUUUAAUAUCAUUUGACAUUGAAGGUAAAGAAUUGAAUUGAAUAUAAAACCUAUACAACUAACUAAUAAUAAUGUUUUCAUCCCACUGGAUAUUUUAUGGCAACAUGAUCGGCAAAGUUGUUUGUAUACCACUUAUCUAGGGCCAUUUGAGUACUUUCCUACAAUUUAUUGAAGUUAGAUUGUUAUGUUUCGCCUGUAAGCAUGUAAUUUGUUUAUUUUUUGUUACUUGGCUCAUAACUCUGUUACUAUUUAUAAAUUUGAUUCAAAGUAGACGUAUCCCUGCACUUAUAUGGUUUUUUUGUUACUUGGCUCCCCCAUGGUAUUUGUUUUUUAUUACAUUUAUGGAAUGCUCAUUUUACAUUUGUUAAAAAAAAUUGAUUUCAACAGUUUUGGACCAAAAUGCCCCUGUAUAAUGUUUUUAUACUUAAAAAAAUUUCAAAUUUAACAAUUUUGGAUGAAAGUGCCCUUGCAUACCUUGGACAGUUGAGGUUGCCCCGCCUGCGUCUCUAGACCAUGGUUCCUUUCAAUAUUUAUGAAUAUGCUUCCUUGGGAAAGUGUUCUUACACUGUGGGAUGGGCUUCUAUUUCAAGGAAAUCAUGUGGGAGCAAAUCUUAAAGGAGUGAAUCUAACGGUAUAAGUAUCUGUUUUUUUGUGCGGUUAUGGUUCUUUCUGUCUACUUGAUGUUUGUAUAUUUGUGUCUCUUUUUUGUUUCUUCAAAACAAAGACUUUUGAGUUUGACUUUUUAGAUUUAGUUUUACAUUUCGGUUUUGUUUGGUCGUAGUCAACAUUUAUUGCGUGUACUUUUUCUCAUAUUUACUUGGCAUAUGUACUGAAUAGCAACGUACUUUUACCUUUCA
Non-coding RNA from Lactuca sativa (garden lettuce), 3072 nucleotides. The record is from RefSeq and is a predicted model, not a curated record. Lineage: Eukaryota; Viridiplantae; Streptophyta; Magnoliopsida; Asterales; Asteraceae.